RNAcentral lists this ribosomal RNA (193 nucleotides) under uncultured bacterium. RNAcentral's name for it is "partial 16S ribosomal RNA". It matches the Rfam family "Bacterial small subunit ribosomal RNA", at positions 326 to 539 of the family's 1533-position model. The record is from RNAcentral.
ACGCUCGACAUACGGGCAGCAGUGGGGAAUAUUGCACAAUGGGGGAAACCCUGAUGCAGCAACGCCGCGUGAAGGAAGACGGUUUUCGGAUUGUAAACUUCUGUUCUUAGUGAAGAUAGUGACGGUAGCUAAGGAGCAAGCCACGGCUAACUACGUGUCAGCAGCCGCGGUAAUCUGAGCGGGCUGGCAAGGC